Molecule: unclassified non-coding RNA, 1113 nt
Filed under: Bombus terrestris (buff-tailed bumblebee)
Lineage: Eukaryota; Metazoa; Arthropoda; Insecta; Hymenoptera; Apidae
Description: misc RNA ENSBTSG00005037640.1
Source: RNAcentral
UCCAAAAAUCGAUGAUCCACCAGAUGCGUCGCUCUUCUGUUAAACCGACGAUAUAUUGGGUUGACAACUUAGUGAUUGCGGAUUUUGUCAAUACCACAUAAUGACAAGUAUAAGCGUUUUCGAGAUCUCAAGGUGACCUUUGUCCCUUUAAAUGGAACUAUAUAUUUUUUCACAGUUAUUCGAUGCAGCUUCUAAUUCUCUACAAAAAAGUAUCUAGCUACUUGUAUCCGAAAAUGGACAGUUUGAAAGAUAUUGCAAUGUUAACUUCGUUGGGUGCAGCGUAUGGGAGACACGGAAAAGGCGAACGUAAGAGCACCAUGUUAUCUUCCCUUGUCAUUCAUACAACGAGUCUUAUGAGACUAAAACUGUAUAAUACUUUUUUGUAGAGAAUUAAAAACUGCAUCGAACGGUGUAUAAAAAAGUGCAUGGUUUCCUUUAGAAGACCGAGGAUCAGCUUGAAAUCUCGAAGGCACGUCCACCUCCAUAAGAUUUGCGACCUUCGCGAGAUGUCGCCCUCGAAACGAAGCAAAUUCUGUUCGAAACGCUUCUUCAGCCUCUAGAUUCGGAAUAUUUCAUUGUUUUAAAUAUUUCUUGGUAUGGUUCAUUGAAAAACACUGCAUGGCAAGCGAUAUUUGGAAUAGUUCCUUAGAUAUUUCAUAUAACAGAAAUAUAACACUUUCGUAUAUUAUAGCAUCCUAUCUAAAAAAGGAAAUUUUUUUAGAGAUAAUUACGAAUGUUUUAAUUUGGAAAGUGAAGGUGAAUUUCAAAUAGGUUAAUAUCGAGUAAUUAGAGAAAUAAUUGACCAACUGAUUUUAUUGUUCGUAAGGAGAGAGGAAAGAAGUACGUCGUUAAAUGAGAUGCGUUUUAAACUACAAAAGUGUACGUAUAUAUAUGUGUAUAAUACUAAUACAAGGAUACAGAGAAUAUUAAUAUUCGAUCACGCUGCGAUCAAUCGACAUGAAUCUUCCACUUGAUAUGAAAAAUUGCCUUGUUUCUAUAAGAAGAAAAUUACCCUCGCGGAACAUGUUACACGUUAAAACGUCAAUUUUACCGAUUACAUAAUUACCGAGAAUCACCAACUAUCGUGCUCCUUGUCGUGUAAGGUACAAAAUA